GAUGAACGCUGGCGGCGUGCCUAAUACAUGCAAGUCGAACGAACAGACGAGUAGCUGGCUCCGGUGGCGUGAGCGGCGGGGGGGAGAAAAACAUGGGGAUAAGCUACGUAGAAGGGGGUAGUAACGUCGGAACAGCGGUACUAAUACCUAAGAAUAUAGGAAACAAGAGGGGGCAAUACUGAAAGACGGCUUUGCGGUUGCUUGUAGGUGGAUCAGCGCCUGAUUAGCUAGUUGGUAAGGUAACGGCCUACCAAGGCGACGAUGCGUAGCGGAGCUGAGAGGGUGAUCGGCCACACUGGAACUGAGACACGGUCCAGACUCCUACGGGAGGCAGCAGUAGGGAAUUUUGCGCAAUGGGCGAAAGCCUGAUCCAGCAACGCCGCGUGUGUGAUGAAGGUCUUCGGAUCGUAAAACUCUGUUAUCCGGGAAGAACACCUGUGUCCUUAAACAUUCACGUGUUGACGGUACCUGAUCAGAAAGCACCGGCUAACUACGUG
RNAcentral lists this ribosomal RNA (497 nucleotides) under uncultured bacterium. RNAcentral describes it as "partial 16S ribosomal RNA". It matches the Rfam family "Bacterial small subunit ribosomal RNA", at positions 28 to 507 of the family's 1533-position model. The record is from RNAcentral.